UGGAUCCAGACUUUGAUCAUGGCUCAGGACGAACGCUGGCGGCGUGCUUAACACAUGCAAGUCGAACGGAGCGCCAUGGAAUGAGGUUUCGGCCAAAGGAAAUGGUUGCUUAGUGGCGGACUGGUGAGUAACGCGUGAGGAACCUGCCUUUCAGAGGGGGACAACAGUUGGAAACGACUGCUAAUACCGCAUGACGCAUGACCGGGGCAUCCCGGACAUGCCAAAGAUUUAUCGCUGAAAGGUGGCCUCGCGUCCGAUUAGAUAGUUGGCGGGGUAAUGGCCCACCAAGUCGACGAUCGGUAGCCGGACUGAGAGGUUGGCCGGCCACAUUGGGACUGAGAUACGGCCCAGACUCCUACGGGAGGCAGCAGUGGGGAAUAUUGGGCAAUGGACGCAAGUCUGACCCAGCAACGCCGCGUGAAGGAAGAAGGCUUUCGGGUUGUAAACUUCUUUGACAGGGGAAGAGCAGAAGACGGUACCCUGAAAACAAGCCACGGCUAACUACGUGCCAGCAGCCGCGGUAAUACGUAGGUGGCAAGCGUUGUCCGGAUUUACUGGGUGUAAAGGGCGUGCAGCCGGGCCGACAAGUCAGAUGUGAAAUCCCGAGGCUUAACCUCGGAACUGCAUUUGAAACUGUUGGUCUUGAGUAUCGGAGAGGUCAUCGGAAUUCCUUGUGUAGCGGUGAAAUGCGUAGAUAUAAGGAAGAACACCAGUGGCGAAGGCGGAUGACUGGACGACAACUGACGGUGAGGCGCGAAAGCGUGGGGAGCGAACAGGAUUAGAUACCCUGGUAGUCCACGCUGUAAACGAUGGAUACUAGGUGUGCGGGGACUGACCCCCUGCGUGCCGCAGUUAACACAAUAAGUAUCCCACCUGGGGAGUACGAUCGCAAGGUUGCAACUCAAAUGAAUUGACGGAAU
This 920-nucleotide ribosomal RNA is filed under the name uncultured organism. Its description in RNAcentral is "bacterial SSU rRNA". It matches the Rfam family "Bacterial small subunit ribosomal RNA", at positions 1 to 919 of the family's 1533-position model. The record is from RNAcentral.